This 69-nucleotide transfer RNA is filed under the name Protopterus annectens (West African lungfish). RNAcentral's name for it is "tRNA-Asp". It matches the Rfam family "tRNA". From Rfam's summary of the family: Transfer RNA (tRNA) molecules are approximately 80 nucleotides in length. The record is from RNAcentral. Lineage: Eukaryota; Metazoa; Chordata; Ceratodontiformes; Protopteridae.
GAGAUAUUAGUAAAAACAAUACAUUGCCUUGUCAAGGCAAAAUUGUGAGUGAAACUCUCACAUAUCUUG